Molecule: ribosomal RNA, 958 nt
Filed under: Russula sp. HMAS 276809
Lineage: Eukaryota; Fungi; Basidiomycota; Agaricomycetes; Russulales; Russulaceae
Description: eukaryotic LSU rRNA
Rfam family: Eukaryotic large subunit ribosomal RNA
Source: RNAcentral
UAAGCAUAUCAAUAAGCGGAGGAAAAGAAACUAACAAGGAUUCCCCUAGUAACUGCGAGUGAAGCGGGAAAAGCUCAAAUUUAAAAUCUGGUGGCCUUUGGUCGCUCGAGUUGUAAUUUAGAGAAGCGUCUUCCGCGCUGGACCGUGCACAAGUCUCCUGGAAUGGAGCGUCAUAGAGGGUGAGAAUCCCGUCUUUGGCACGGACGUACCAGGGCUUUCGUGAUGCGCUCUCGAAGAGUCGAGUUGUUUGGGAAUGCAGCUCAAAAUGGGUGGUGAACUCCAUCUAAAGCUAAAUAUUGGCGAGAGACCGAUAGCGAACAAGUACCGUGAGGGAAAGAUGAAAAGCACUUUGGAAAGAGAGUGAAACAGUACGUGAAAUUGUUGAAAGGGAAACGCUUGAAGUCAGUCGCGUCGACCGAGACUCAGCCUCGCCUUGGCUUGGUGUAUUUCUCGGCCGACGGGUCAGCGUCAAUUUUGGCCUUCGGAUAAUGGCAGGGGAAAGGUAGCACCUUUACGGGUGUGUUAUAGUCUUCUGUCGCAUGCGAGGUUCAGGAUUGAGGAACUCAGCACGCGCCUUUUGGCGUCGGGGCCUCGGCCCACGCUACGUGCUUAGGAUGCUGGCGUAAUGGCUUUAAACGACCCGUCUUGAAACACGGACCAAGGAGUCUAACAUGCCCGCGAGUGUUCGGGUGGAAAACCCGUGCGCGUAAUGAAAGUGAAAGUUGGGACCCCUGUCGUGGGGGGCACCGACGCCCGGACCAGACCUUCUGUGACGGAUCUGCGGUAGAGCGUGCAUGUUGGGACCCGAAAGAUGGUGAACUAUGCCUGAAUAGGGUGAAGCCAGAGGAAACUCUGGUGGAGGCUCGUAGCGAUUCUGACGUGCAAAUCGAUCGUCAAAUUUGGGUAUAGGGGCGAAAGACUAAUCGAACCAUCUAGUAGCUGGUUCCUGCCGAUUUCC